GUGUGAUCUGCCCUUUUACUGAUAUAUAUACUCAGGCAAAUAUCUUGAGUAGCAUGGAUAACUGUAAUGAUAAUUAUUUAAAAACCUAGCACAAAAAUAUUACAAAACACUAGUCUUUUAUUUUUGUAAAGAAAACAACAAGUCGGCGAGAGUACAAACCUGAUAUUAUAGGGUAUUAAAAAACAGCCAUUAAGACAUUUUGCCCUGGAAAUUGGUAUUUUCGGAGAUGGAAAUUAUAGUCCUGUGCUUCCUGCCAACAGUCUGUAGGCAACAAGGUUUUUCUUUUCAACUGUUAAUUUAUUUUUCUCUAAAGAAUGUGUGUACAUGAGUUAACCAAGCUUGCCCCAUACCUGCUUUUUUGAGCAGAACUAUCUUUCUAGUAGUGCUCUAUAGGAGCAAAGCUCCCUCCCACUUCACAGAAGAUGGCACCAUUCAGAAAGAGUUGUUUCAGAACAUACCUGGUUUAAUGAUAGGAUCAGUGAACACAGCAGUGUUUUCUUGGCAACAGGUUGAAAAGCUUGCAGCUAAACAGUUUCUUUGGAACAGUUUAUUGGCAUUCCAUCUCUGCAUUAGAAACUUGGAUUUCACUUCUUAUUUUGUUUUUCUGUUCCCCUGGUUCAUUUCCUCUAUCAUUUUUUUCCUAAUGAUACAUAAAAAUAACAUGCUGCGUUCUUUGUCCUGAGCAGAGAAUUAACUGUGUUGCUCUUUGAAUUUGUAAGGAGGCAGAUUUGGUAAGAAUUCUAGUUAUAGGUAUACAUUAUCCAAUAAUGAAAAAGGUAGCUAAAUGAAAAUCAUCAACAGCAUAGGUGGAAAGGAAACAAUUUAAAGAGGUAAGUUUUAAAUGUUUAACUUCCAUUAUCACCACUGCUGAACUUAUAUUCUGUGCAUAAGCAUUUUGCCUUAGAAUUUAAUUUUGCCCUCCUGCUGAAAUGAAAUACUUAAAUUCAUAUUUUGAAGUUGGCAAAUCGAACUUAAGGGCAAUGCUUAUUAGGCUAAGACAUUCUGCUGUGUCUUGUGAACGCAAAGUGUUAGCAUUUGGUUGCUUUUUUAAUCUGAAUUGUUAAACAGGCAUUUUCCACAUCCAUGCACUUCCCUAAGAACAAGGCAAAAAAUAGUCAGAGUCAUUGAGGAAAAGGACAAGAGUUAACAGCUGGCUAGUAUGGCUUCUGGAAAACUAAACUUUUCUUAAUGCUUGUCACAGCAAUAGCACAAAAACUCAGUUUGAAGUUUGCAUGACUGUAUAAUGUAUUCAUUAGUUGUUAUAAUGUUUUUCACCAAAUCUGGAAAUAAUACAAGAAAGAAUUGUUGUUCAAAUAGUUUACUCCACAUUUAUGAAGAAGUACUAUUCCUGGUAAAAGUUAGAAAAAUCUCAUUGGUAGCCAAAGUGAACAGUCUACUUUUGUCAGAUCUCAUACUUGAAUGUGGUGCAGGAAUGUAACACCUGUCCUGAAUUGCCCAGGACCCUCAUGUUUCCAGGGCUACAUGCUUACUAGAGUCCAGUCCUAUCUCAGCAAUUUUCUGUGUUCUGCAUCUGGAAUGAAUAUUCUGUUUCCACCUUCAUAUCUCAAGAAAUAUUUUUUGGGUGUAUCUUCAUUUUAUCUAUUUCUUCACAUAACGCUUAUUGAAUUAUAUGACAUUUACUAUGAUGUCUCAAUAGUGCAGUUUUUUUUUUUUCUGCAAGGGUUGUAAAUCAUCUGCAGAAUAGAUGUUUGGCUACCUCCAACAUUUCUGAUAUUAAAUGUGAGAAAAAUGCUUUUUGUUAACUGGAGCCAUGUGUACAUAUGCAGAUUAUUUUUGAGCCAUGUACUGCAGAAAAUGUAACUCUGUUUCUUGUAUUUCACACAAAUAUUUUUGUCUGAUAUAUCUCUUUCAUCAUAGCUUUCAUAUUUUCAUAUUACUUCUUUUAACUGAGUUGCAUUACAGCUGUUUACAGUACCAAGCCACAUAAGAGUUAGAAACAGAGGAAAUGGGAAAAGUAAGAAUAAACAGUUUAAUUCUUAAUCAGCUACUGCUUUUGAUACUUUAAACAUGGUGAUCGCUAAUGCGGAAAGCUCUGGAAGCCUUAGUAAGCUGGCUUGAUCAUCUGAAGAAUGCCAGUACUUCUUAGGGAAAGUUCGUGAUUCAUACUCAAGGAUUAAGCCAAGAGAAUCUUGUGACCUAAGCAGCCUGGCUCUCCACUGGUAAAAAUGGGAUUUUCUUAUCUUCACAAAAAUAAUAAUUGAGACAGAGAGCAGGGAUGGAAACAGACAGUAUACAUUUGAUUGCAGAGCUAGCAAUGCUCAAACAGCAUAAGGGAAAUGGCAGUUUUGGCAAAUUGUGAGUGUCGUGAUAGAAAAAUAAACUACAGUAUGUGAAGUGUUCCUCAGAGAUGAAUCACAGCGUGUCUGAGAAGCAGCAGAAAUAUGAACUGUAACAAAAAACGAUAGAUAUUUUGUCUUCAGUGUCUUGGGUGAUCCUUAGGAAAUGUUUAGUCGUUCACCUGGUAAUUCAGGAAACAGCUCCUCCCUGGGUAUCGAUCUCUUCAAAAUGAUUGCAUUAACGUGUAUUUCUUUAUGGUAGGUCACCAGUGCAAGAAGUGUGAGAUUUGGAGUGAUGACAUGAAAUCGAAUCCUAUUUCUAAUAAUAAACAUUUACUUGACAGAGUCAGUCAACUUCAAUAUUAUAGUUUCUCCAUUUCUACAACUGAGAUAAUAAUUUAGCUUUUUAUUUAUUUGUUUAGAAUCUUGCAAAAAUUACCUUUGAAAUAUGAGCAAUAAAGGAUACAACACAUGGGAGCAUUGCAAACUGACUCCCCGACCAAGAAAGUUGCAUAAACGCAUAUCCUUUGGCAGAGCUCACUGAUAUAAACAACCUUGGUUAUAUUUAGAUCCACAUCUAGGUGCCUUGCCACCUCUGUCAUCUCUCUUUAUUCUUAUUUUAGGGUUUUAACUACUUAUAUUUAAUAGAUCAUAAGGAAAUAGAAGAUACAAAAGCACUAGCUAUCAUUACUUUUUGAGACAAGCAAAACAUUAUUGGUGCAUUAUAACUCCAGUCUUGUUUUGCAUUAAUUUCCCUUAAAGGGAGGAUCAAUAUUAGCAAGCAGAACUGUAAUCAUUGUGUAAAUCUGAUUUUUCUGUUGGUUUCUUUAAAAAUCGUGCAGUCAAAUUACUUAGCAUUUCCUUAGCAUUCACAGUGCAGAAACAUCUGAUAGGUACGGAGAGAAUUUUCAGCAGCAGCUUUUGUGGGGACUGCAUAGGCAGGUAACAGCAAACUCCUUUCUGGGUAGUGCUGUGCUGGCAAAUCAGUGAUGAGGGAAUGAUGCUGCAAGGGACACAUGUAGGCACAGUAGUAAUUUUGAUAACAUCCAACUGUUCUGUUGAGGAAAAUGUACAUUUAAAGCUUCUGAUCUGAUUUCUUCAGGGAAAAAUUACCAUCGUUAUGUUCCUGGACUCAGUUGCAACAUCUCAAAUUCAUGUUUAUUCAUACAUGCCUUUGUAAUCCUGUUGAGUUGCAGUGGGAAUUAAACAAAUUGUACAACAAAAAAGUAUAAAUCAUUGCAGUACAUAAAGCAGUUUCCAUCACUGCUCCUAGAAACUACUCAAAUAACAGUAAUGUUUGAUCUUCUGUAAAACAUAUCAGUGCAUUUAAAUUUUAAUUCUCUUCUGUGAUGUUUGGAGAAAAAGUAGACAAAUUGCAUUAAGAAAGUCAGUUUCCAUACAACGUUACUUUAAACAGUUUCAGAAAUUACAGGCUAAAUCUUUAAAAAUUUUCCUUCAGUUUCAGCAGUGCACCAUGCCUUGGUGAGAAGUGGAAGCAGACCUUUAGAGAUGCAUCCUGGACACUCCUUUUGCCCCCCUUGGUGAAAGAAGGAUGGGAUGCUGCCAGGACAGCCACAGUUUCUGCAACACAAAGCUGAAAUUACAAGAUUGUUGUCGUAAGAAAGCAGAAACAGUGUAUGGCACUCCGUGCCCUGCAGUGCUGCCGUUCUUCCGUUGUUUUUACAAACAUUGCUACCUUUCUAGGCAGCCAGGGCUGCUAAUUUCUUCUCAUUACAACUAUAUGAAAAAGAAGUGAGAGAUACCUCUAGUACACCAAUAUUAAUAUGGUGAAUAAUUAAGCCAUCAAGAAAACUGUAUAUGUUUUCAAAGAAGCCAAGCACCUGCACACGGACAAUUUCUGUCUUAUAGCUGUGUUUGAGAAUAGUGAGAAUGGGGAAAAAAAGCCUUUGCUGUAUCUCCUUCAAGACAGACAGGAGUGUGUUUAUUUUCACCAAAUAUCCAUACACAUAUGACACUCUCUCAGAAAUGGACAGUUGCUGGAAGAGUAACACCUUUUUAUUCCUUAUGAUAUAUGUCCCGCACGUGCAUCUCCUGUAUGUGUGCAAAUACAGGAGGAAGGAAGUCCUGGAAGACUUGGGAGCUCUCAGUGGGAAACCAAGGCAAAGGGCACAGUUCUCAUACAAAUGGGCAAAGGCAUCUGGGCCUCAUUGAAGUCUUGCAAAUAAUUAAGAAUAUUAGACCUCUGGUUACUGAUCAUCUUGCAGAAGUGGUGGCAUAUCUUGCAAUUACAUUUUAAGCAACAUUAAACGCAACCAAAAAUAAGAUCCUGCAUAUCAUCACCUGAUAUGUCCCAAACCAACACCUUAUUUUUUUAACCCUGCACUGCUGCGUAACUUCAGCUGAAUUGCCACGCUUGUCUGAAGUGCUCACAUGGACGCAGUUUGAGUAGGUCAGUGCUGGAAGUGCCUCUGCCUGCAAGCUUAGUGUGACAGCUGCAUCCAGGUGUCAGUCUGUAACUUCAGCAAAUAAUUAACUGCUACCGAAUGCCACAGCCACCACAGGCACACUUACAGUGACCAAGAGCGUGCUCCUGAAUCCCGUGUGCUGCAGACAUCGGCCGCCUCUCACACUGUACAAUUUAUAGUGUCCUUCAUUCUGUCAUCAAUAUACGUGUGCUACAGUUGGAGCCACAAUAAAGCUCAACUUAUCCACUAACAACCUUUAAACACCUACUAGAAUUUCAUUUAAAAGUCACCUACAAGUACAAAUUAUGCUUAGAUCCUUUAGGCUGCUGGUAUCAAAAUGUAAGCAGUAGCGUAGACUUGAAUAGCCUUACCAAGCUCAGACUUACUCGUCACAGCAUGCUAUAACAUCUUUUAUCAGUACACAAAUUAGUCAUCUUCACAUUGAUUUAAAGAUACAGACCAUGCACACGCACAUGCACACGCACACACACUGGGCACGCACUGAAGAAACAGGCUGUCUGGAGAGGGAGAGACGUGCAACUGACAUAGUUUGUCAGCAAAGGAACUGUGGAGGGGACAACAGAAAUGUUCCUUCAGGUUGGACCAUUUUCUGCGGGUUUAAGCUGUCUCUCUUUGCUAGAAAUAUCUUUUCUUUUCUCCCAGUUCACUUAUGCCAAACAACUACUCUUUGAAACAUCACUUUGUCUUCUGCUAGGUUUUUAUGGAGAAAAAAACAGAGACCUUUUAUAAGCUACAACAGUGCUUAGAAAGCCAUUUCAUGUUUAAUUUGGGGGAUGCUAGUGUUACCUGUCCACAUUUUACUGCUGAAGGUGACGUUAAAGUUGAAAUAUUGUUGCAUAUUUAAGUGUGCAGUAGCCCGUUACUGAGUGCAGCAGUAGCUUAGUGCUAAGUUUAGUGUCCAUUGUAAGACCAGAACGCAUUGGUUUCCUUUGCAGAACAAAGUGACCACCAAAAGCGGGACUUUGUG
Long non-coding RNA from Gallus gallus (chicken), 5711 nucleotides. NCBI's taxonomy places the organism in Eukaryota, Metazoa, Chordata, Aves, Galliformes, Phasianidae. The record is from Ensembl.